Long non-coding RNA from Peromyscus eremicus (cactus mouse), 1488 nucleotides. RefSeq lists it as uncharacterized. The transcript has 3 exons. The record is from RefSeq and is a predicted model, not a curated record. NCBI's taxonomy places the organism in Eukaryota, Metazoa, Chordata, Mammalia, Rodentia, Cricetidae.
GGAUUAAAGACGUGCGCCACCACCGCCUGGCUAUAAUGAGAUAUUCUUAACAUUGUGUUAGUUAUGGGACAAAUAGAAAUGAUCUAAUUAUAAGCUCACUUUAAAGAAGUCUCCCAGUAGCAGACAAGGAAGUCAUAGGUCUUUGGAAGUGAGAAGUAUUUGAUGUGUCCUUGAUCGUUUCAAACUACAGGGGCUACAUGAGAAGAAAUGUGCAUGGUCUUUAGAUACUGAGAACUGCCUUUGUGUGACAGCCAGCAAGACCACAGGGACCUCAAACCAUACUCAUAAGAAAGUGGAUUCCGAUAACAACCUUGGGAAGGAAUGUUUUCUCAGAUCCUCCUGAUAAGAGCCCAGCCCAACUGAUAAUAUGAUUCCAGCAUUGGCAUGAGUUACUACUAAAUGUGGAUGAACAGGAUGGAAGCCAGAUCAGUUUUGUUUUUCUAGGCCUCUGCAGUCCAAAUGAGGAGCAAAUGGGGAGCUACAAGAGGCUCUGCACAAGAGAGCAACACCACAUGGGCCACAGCCCGGACUCAAACGGUGGGCAGGACUCUGGCAGAGGCUGCACAAGGAGAGCUGUGUGGUAACCAACUGUUCUCCGGAGGGAACUCCUUGUCCCAGCAAGCUGAGGGGGUGGCUCCAAGACUUGGCACAUUUGGGACAUUUGGACUUGAGGGCAGAGGCCUCAGGCACCAUUUGCUAUCUAUGCUAUGGGAACGUGCUUGACUUGGGGACAAGAUCUUCUCUUCUCGUCUUUCUGAGCAGAACCUGCCUGUCCUGUUCCUUGCCUCCAUCACCUAGCACCCUCAACUGCACAUCCAGGCUUUGUAUCCUCAGCACGGGGUGCUGAUUCAAGAAGCGGACACUCUAAAGAAAGAAUAGGGCACAGUUUUUAAACACGAGAGGACACUGAUGAUGGGGACUUCCAGCUUGGCCUUCAGGGGAUGCAUUAUCCAUGUCUACUGGCUGAGACACUUCCGGCACCCUUGGUAGCCCCUUUCUUCCCUGGCUUCCCGUGGCAACACUGUAAGGCAGUGCCGAGCACAGUGAUUGAGUUCACGUCACAGCUUUGUCCCUUUGAGCUCUUUGACCUUGGGCAAAUGUCUAAUCUCACCUGCAGAAUGAAGCCCUUAAUAACAUCUUUCUUCUAAGUUUGCUUGCGAGGCCAAAUUAAGCCCCAUAAAGUGCUUAAAACAAUAUCUAGCACAUCAAACUUUAAGUGAUGUUCUCUGUUCUUCUUAUCUGCUCUGUGCUACUUCUCCCUGCCAACAUCACAUCUCCUUCUUGAUGUGUCCUUAAACACAGCCCUCUCACUUGCUCCCACACCCAAUAGUUUUUCUGGAAUUGACCAUUCUAUUAAGUGCAAAGGACUAUGUGAACAAAAUGAACUACAGAAUAACAUCUUCAUUAACUACUUUAAUGCUGUCAUUUCUUUACUGUGACUCACAAAUCUGUGUUUCUGUCUCUCUAUCUCUCUCUAUAUAUCUAUAU